UACGAAGGGGGCUAGCGUUGCUCGGAAUCACUGGGCGUAAAGGGUGCGUAGGCGGGUCUUUAAGUCAGGGGUGAAAUCCUGGAGCUCAACUCCAGAACUGCCUUUGAUACUGACGGUCUUGAGUCCGGGAGAGGUGAGUGGAACUCCGAGUGUAGAGGUGAAAUUCGUAGAUAUUCGGAAGAACACCAGUGGCGAAGGCGGCUCACUGGCCCGGUACUGACGCUGAGGUGCGAAAGCGUGGGGAGCAAACAGG
RNAcentral lists this ribosomal RNA (253 nucleotides) under uncultured bacterium. RNAcentral's name for it is "partial 16S ribosomal RNA". It matches the Rfam family "Bacterial small subunit ribosomal RNA", at positions 524 to 776 of the family's 1533-position model. The record is from RNAcentral.